Molecule: ribosomal RNA, 397 nt
Filed under: uncultured bacterium
Lineage: Bacteria
Description: partial 16S ribosomal RNA
Rfam family: Bacterial small subunit ribosomal RNA
Source: RNAcentral
AUACGUAGGUGGCAAGCGUUGUCCGGAAUUAUUGGGCGUAAAGCGCGCGCAGGUGGUUCCUUAAGUCUGAUGUGAAAGCCCCCGGCUCAACCGGGGAGAGUCAUUGGAAACUGGGGAACUUGAGUGCAGAAGAGGAUAGUGGAAUUCCAAGUGUAGCGGUGAAAUGCGUAGAGAUUUGGAGGAACACCAGUGGCGAAGGCGACUGUGUGGUCUGUAACUGACACUGAGGCGCGAAAGCGUGGGGAGCAAACAGGAUUAGAUACCCUGGUAGUCCACGCCGUAAACGAUGAGUGCUAAGUGUUGGGGGGUUUCCGCCCCUCAGUGCUGCAGCUAACGCAUUAAGCACUCCGCCUGGGGAGUACGGUCGCAAGACUGAAACUCAAAGGAAUUGACGGGG